AGAAGAUGAACGCGGAAUGAGCAUUGUCUCUGCCUCCAGAACGCGAGACCACAGUGCAUACACUACAGACGCGGUGCACGCCCGAAUUUCAGAUAUGAACGUGCCGUCCCUAAUGGCGAGUGAUGUGAUCUACCCUGCUGAUCUUACGACGGGCUGGGCACUGUUCAUUCUCCACAUUCACAGGCAUUUGAACUCUACAGUACUCCAGGAGUUCAACAGGAAGUGAUGCGCCAGAAUUCAGCCACCGGAGUUCAGCUCGGCGUUCUGUAUAAUUUUUUAAUUUGUGCUUGCUGAUGAAAUCAAGUGGUCGGUGGGUAGUAGGUAAUAGAAAACAACGUGAUAUUGGGACAGUGAGAGUCCAUGGAUAGCAGAAAAUUGAUGGGUACCUUUUGAAGGUUCUGAGGGUGGAAACACCAGUGCUCCCUUCGCAUUGGAUUGCGUGGCCAAAAUUUCAAACCUGUGCAUUAACAAGGCGGGGACCUCGCUGUCACGCGGAACUGUGUGUUGGAUGAGAGGAGCUUCCACCCGGCCGAGCAGGUUUUUAAUAAUUUGCCCCGUCCCUGUUGUGAUGUUCCACUCAUAUAAAUGCU
Anguilla anguilla (European eel) is the source of this 590-nucleotide long non-coding RNA. RefSeq lists it as uncharacterized. The record is from RefSeq and is a predicted model, not a curated record. NCBI's taxonomy places the organism in Eukaryota, Metazoa, Chordata, Actinopteri, Anguilliformes, Anguillidae. The transcript has 3 exons.